UCGUGAGACCGGAAAUACAUCAAGGCUAUAUAUUUUCAUCCAGCUUAUUUGACUUAUGUGCAGAGUACUUCAUGGAAAGUAACUUGCUGAAAGAAUCUGAAGUGGGAAACAAAAUUACUGUGAGAAGUAUGAAUAACCUUAGUUUUAAGAUGACAACAUAUAAAUGGCUGAAAAACACUAGGAACUAAAGGUGAAAGGAGAAAUUGAGAAAGCUGAAUUAAAACUCAAUACAAAAACAAACAGACACAAAACAUAAGAUCAUGGAAUUUGGCCCCAUCAUUUUGAGAUAUUUUAAUGAGAUACAAUUGAAUUAGUGACAGGUUUCACUUUCUUGAUCUCUGAUAUGACUGCGUGAUGUGACUGAAGCCAUGAAACAAAAAGGCACUUGCCCAUUGGAUGAAAAGCUAUGACCAAUCUCAAAACCAUAUUACAAAGCUGAGAGAUUAUUGAAAAAGGCCUGAAUGGUCAAAGUUGAUUUUCAGGAGUAAUGUAUGGAGGAGUGAGCAGGAACACAAGAACUGACUGCCAAAAUAUAGAUGCUUUACAACAGGAGGGCUAGAGAAGACAUGUUGAGAAUGGAGUUCAAACUAAUAAAGUGUGAAGGAAAUGAUUUCAGAUUAUUCUCAGAAGGACUGAUGCUGCACAUGAAGAGCCAAUAUAUCAGCCUCUUGAAGCCAAGAGCAAAAUCACUGGGAAGAAACUGAUGCUGGGAAAGAUUGAGCACAGGAGAAGAAGGAAACGACAGAGGGUGAGAUGGCUGAAAAGCAUUGUUGACUCAAAGGUCAUGGGUUUGAAUACAACUCUGGGAGAUUUGAAUGGCAGGUGAGCCCUGGGUUCUUGCUGUACAUGGAGUCACAAGAGUCUGACAAGUCUGAGUGACUGAACAACAUCAAAAAGUUAGAACUGGCAAUGCUUGGGACAUGGUUCAGAUUGCAUGUUAAGUCUGUCAUUGUAAUUGGAAUGAUAAGUGAGAUUUGGGACAUUUAGAAAGAACACAGCUCUUGUCAGUUUCCUUGUUUUCCUCCCUCAUAUUGUACUUCCCACAAUGUCUUUUUAAAGCUUCCCAGAGAAGGAGAACACCGGCG
This 1085-nucleotide small RNA is filed under the name Bos taurus (domestic cattle). The record is from RNAcentral. Lineage: Eukaryota; Metazoa; Chordata; Mammalia; Artiodactyla; Bovidae.